CGAGCGAUGGAUUAAGAGCUUGCUCUUAUGAAGUUAGCGGCGGACGGGUGAGUAACACGUGGGUAACCUACCCAUAAGACUGGGAUAACUCCGGGAAACCGGGGCUAAUACCGGAUAAUAUUUUGAACUGCAUAGUUCGAAAUUGAAAGGCGGCUUCGGCUGUCACUUAUGGAUGGACCCGCGUCGCAUUAGCUAGUUGGUGAGGUAACGGCUCACCAAGGCGACGAUGCGUAGCCGACCUGAGAGGGUGAUCGGCCACACUGGGACUGAGACACGGCCCAGACUCCUACGGGAGGCAGCAGUAGGGAAUCUUCCGCAAUGGACGAAAGUCUGACGGAGCAACGCCGCGUGAGUGAUGAAGGCUUUCGGGUCGUAAAACUCUGUUGUUAGGGAAGAACAAGUGCUAGUUGAAUAAGCUGGCACCUUGACGGUACCUAACCAGAAAGCCACGGCUAACUACGUGCCAGCAGCCGCGGUAAUACGUAGGUGGCAAGCGUUAUCCGGAAUUAUUGGGCGUAAAGCGCGCGCAGGUGGUUUCUUAAGUCUGAUGUGAAAGCCCACGGCUCAACCGUGGAGGGUCAUUGGAAACUGGGAGACUUGAGUGCAGAAGAGGAAAGUGGAAUUCCAUGUGUAKCGGUGAAAUGCGUAGAGAUAUGGAGGAACACCAGUGGCGAA
This 675-nucleotide ribosomal RNA is filed under the name Bacillus mycoides. RNAcentral describes it as "bacterial SSU rRNA". Lineage: Bacteria; Bacillati; Bacillota; Bacilli; Caryophanales; Bacillaceae. The record is from RNAcentral.